This 687-nucleotide ribosomal RNA is filed under the name uncultured bacterium. RNAcentral's name for it is "bacterial SSU rRNA". It matches the Rfam family "Bacterial small subunit ribosomal RNA", at positions 1 to 666 of the family's 1533-position model. The record is from RNAcentral.
UAGAGUUUGAUCCUGGCUCAGAAUGAACGCUGGCGGCGUGCUUAACACAUGCAAGUCGUACGAGAACUCUUUAGCUUGCUAAAGAAAGUAAAGUGGCGCACGGGUGAGUAACGCGUGGGUAAUCUACCUUUGAAUAUGGAAUAACAUGCCGAAAGGCAUGCUAAUACCGUAUACUAUCUUUAUACCUUCGGUUAUAGAGAUGAAAGAUGGCCUCUAUAUAUAAGCUGUCGUUCGGAGAUGAGCCUGCGUACCAUUAGCUUGUUGGUAGGGUAAUGGCCUACCAAGGCUUCGAUGGUUAGCUGGUCUGAGAGGAUGAUCAGCCACACUGGAACUGACACACGGUCCAGACUCCUACGGGAGGCAGCAGUGAGGAAUUUUGCGCAAUGGGGGAAACCCUGACGCAGCAACGCCGCGUGAGUGAUGAAGGCUUUCGGGUCGUAAAGCUCUGUCAAGUGAGAAGAAAAUAGAAAAUGCUAAUACCAUUUUUUACUGACGGUAUUACUAAAGGAAGCACCGGCUAACUCCGUGCCAGCAGCCGCGGUAACACGGGGGGUGCAAGCGUUAUUCGGAAUUAUUGGGCGUAAAGGGCGCGUAGGCGGCUUUUUAAGUCAGGUGUGAAAGCCCAAGGCUUAACCUUGGAAGUGCAUUUGAAACUAAAAAGCUUGAGUAUGGGAGAGGGAAGUGGAA